AUAUGAGUGACACAUCAUCAUACA
This 24-nucleotide non-coding RNA is filed under the name Arabidopsis thaliana (thale cress). Lineage: Eukaryota; Viridiplantae; Streptophyta; Magnoliopsida; Brassicales; Brassicaceae. The record is from RNAcentral.